AUUGAACGCUGGCGGCAGGCCUAACACAUGCAAGUCGAACGGUAGCACAGAGAGCUUGCUCUUGGGUGACGAGUGGCGGACGGGUGAGUAAUGUCUGGGAAACUGCCCGAUGGAGGGGGAUAACUACUGGAAACGGUAGCUAAUACCGCAUAACGUCUUCGGACCAAAGUGGGGGACCUUCGGGCCUCACACCAUCGGAUGUGCCCAGAUGGGAUUAGCUAGUAGGUGGGGUAAUGGCUAACCUAGGCGACGAUCCCUAGCUGGUCUGAGAGGAUGACCAGCCACACUGGAACUGAGACACGGUCCAGACUCCUACGGGAGGCAGCAGUGGGGAAUAUUGCACAAUGGGCGCAAGCCUGAUGCAGCCAUGCCGCGUGUAUGAAGAAGGCCUUCGGGUUGUAAAGUACUUUCAGCGGGGAGGAAGGCGAUGGAGUUAAUAGCUUCAUCGAUUGACGUUACCCGCAGAAGAAGCACCGGCUAACUCCGUGCCAGCCGCCGCGGUAA
RNAcentral lists this ribosomal RNA (504 nucleotides) under uncultured bacterium. RNAcentral describes it as "partial 16S ribosomal RNA". It matches the Rfam family "Bacterial small subunit ribosomal RNA", at positions 30 to 523 of the family's 1533-position model. The record is from RNAcentral.